RNAcentral lists this ribosomal RNA (507 nucleotides) under uncultured bacterium. Its description in RNAcentral is "bacterial SSU rRNA". It matches the Rfam family "Bacterial small subunit ribosomal RNA", at positions 355 to 852 of the family's 1533-position model. The record is from RNAcentral.
UGGGGAAUUUUGCGCAAUGGGCGAAGGCCUGACGCAGUAACGCCGCGUGGAGGAUGAAGGCCCUCGGGUUGUAAACUCCUGUCAGAGGGAACGACAGUGGUAGAGUGAAUAGCUCUAUUUACUAGACGGUACCCUCAAAGGAAGCCCCGGCUAAUUCCGUGCCAGCAGCCGCGGUAAUACGGAAGGGGCAAGCGUUGUUCGGAAUCAUUGGGCGUAAAGGGCGCGCAGGUGGUCCUAUGUGUCUACUGUAAAAGCACACGGCUCAACCGUGUCGGGUCGGUGGAAACUGUAGGACUUGAGGCUGGGAGGGGCUGGUGGAAUUCCCUGUGUAGCGGUGAAAUGCGUAGAGAUGGGGGAGAACACUCGUGGCGAAGGCGGCCAGCUGGACCAGUCCUGACACUGAGGCGCGACAGCGUGGGGAGCGAAACAGGAUUAGAUACCCUGGUAGUCCUAGCCCUAAACUAUGGAUACUUGCUGUGGGGGGAUUGAAGCCCCUUGUGGCGAAGC